CGGGUGGAGUUGAACUGCAAAGCUCCGAGAAUUUAACUGGUGAGUGUGGUAUACACUUGGAUAUAUUGGUUGGCCCUCAAAGUCUGCAGAAAACUGUGGAGGCUGUGCUAACGCGCGGCGUGCGUUGAAGCGCUUAUCAAGCGCUGUGCUCUUUGGGGGUACUUCGAACCUGCUUGCCAGUGCAUUUUCUCAGAGUGAUCACCACGACCGGCGCUGCUGUCUGUCUGCUGUGGUUAAACCGGGUGUGUAUCGUCCUUGUGGCUUUGCAUACUCGGGAUGGCAGGUAACCCGAUUGUGCUUGUCACGAUUGGGUGUAAUCAGCUGACCAUAGUAGUACUGUGCAGUGCGUCGGAGACGGCGGCUUGUGGUGCGUACAUGCGUGCAUGUUGAGUGGCGGCUUUGGGUCUGGUUAUACUGUAGCCUGUAAAAACAGGCCAUGUAAUGGCCCAGGGUUGUUCACUUGAUGGUUGCGUAUGGGGCACUUUAAUGGGCCUACAGUCUGUGGUGUAGUGGUAGACGAUCCACCCGACCCGUCUUGAAACACGGA
Molecule: ribosomal RNA, 547 nt
Filed under: Fellodistomum agnotum
Lineage: Eukaryota; Metazoa; Platyhelminthes; Trematoda; Strigeidida; Fellodistomidae
Description: partial large subunit ribosomal RNA
Source: RNAcentral